RNAcentral lists this transfer RNA (77 nucleotides) under Ralstonia solanacearum. Its description in RNAcentral is "tRNA-Ala". The record is from RNAcentral. Lineage: Bacteria; Pseudomonadati; Pseudomonadota; Betaproteobacteria; Burkholderiales; Burkholderiaceae.
CAUCAGAUAGGCGGGCGCGUCGCCGCGCUGGCGGCGCGGCAGCCGUUGGGCCGGUUCGGCGGGCGCCUCCGAUGGCC